GAAAAAAGCAAUUACUGCCCUUGCGGUUUCAAGGCGGCCCCGUGCUGAACGAUGAAAGGAGAUAAGGAGGGGCGGUUUCAAGGCGCCCCCCACGGCGAACCCCGUUGGCCCCAGAGCAAAAGGAGAGUCAAGAGUGACUAAAUCAAAGGGAAUACGGUUAAAAACAACAACAAAAAAAGAAAAUGGAGGCGAGGACGGCAACAAGAACCGGAAAGCAACUAUUUCUCUACCGAGAGGGAGCUCUUCUUCUUUCUUUUAUGGUGGAAGAAAAGUUUUGUCUACAAAGGAGACAGCGGGAAGACGGCCGAAUAGUAUCUCCACGAGGGACAGUAGGGUCAAGAGGUCACCCACUUUCUGCAACGAGCCACACAGCAUUUCAAGAAACGCCACUGAUUCCUUUAACCGGACUUCUUUUGCAACACAGGACUUUGCGUGACUCCAUCACGGUGACGCACCAGCAGCAAUCUGACUGAAGAAACAAGACUUUCAGAAAUCUUUCAACUCUGAGGAAGAUGUUUUGAAUAGUUUUGAACAUACAGUCCUCAGGACGUCCUGGAGUCUGUUGCUCAAACCAUAAUGGAAGUCUCAUUUUGAAUGUAUUUGAUAAUAAUUACACAAAUCACGAGAUUGUGGAUCAUCUAAAACCCAUCCAACAAUAAUUCGAUUUGGAAGUGUGCUCAUAUGUGUUCAGAGAUUGAGCUUUAAACAAGUUAAACAAAAU
This is a long non-coding RNA of Astatotilapia calliptera (eastern happy), 721 nucleotides long. Lineage: Eukaryota; Metazoa; Chordata; Actinopteri; Cichliformes; Cichlidae. The record is from Ensembl.